CUGUAAUCCCAGAACUUGGGAGGCUGAGGCAGGAGCAUGGCUGCGACUUCAAGACCAGCCUGGGGCUUCGUAGUGAGUUUAAGGCCAGCCUGGACUACUUAGACUCAGUCUCAAAACAAAACCAAACAACAAAACAAAAAAUAAACAAACACUGUUCUGUUCAAUUAAUAUGUGCUCUGUUCUCAGGUGCAGACCAUUCAUGCACUCAGCAAAUGAGCAGCUUCUCCAAGUAGGCUGAAGUCACUGUUCUUGAGUUCAUGGCUGUUGGGAGAGAGAAGACUCAACAAAUAUCUAUAAGUAAAGCUAGACAGUCAUCACAAUAAGAGAGGACAAAGGGUGAAGAGAAGGAAGCAUCACAGAGGCUGCAGGGACCACAGAAAGCUACACAGAGGCACUGAAUUUGCCCUUGAUAGAUGAACUGCAUUUCACCUACUCAGUUCCAAGAGUUUAUCACAACCUUCCUUUCCCGCCAGCAUUUCAGAGUUGGCACCAAAGGAACAUUUUAGCUUGGAGUCCUCCUAGGACCCCCUGUAUCCAGCGCCCAGACCUAAAGAAACACAAGCCAGAGGUAG
RNAcentral lists this long non-coding RNA (572 nucleotides) under Fukomys damarensis (Damara mole-rat). RNAcentral describes it as "lncRNA (ENSFDAG00000024720.1)". Lineage: Eukaryota; Metazoa; Chordata; Mammalia; Rodentia; Bathyergidae. The record is from RNAcentral.